AUCACCAAGGUGACUAAAAGAAGAGUACCCUAGAAGCCAAUCACAAGUGUUGUGAUGGAACUUUUCUUUGUAAUUUUCCAACUCAUGUAAUGAUAUUUAUUAAUUGAGGCAUUGAUUCAUCAUUUUAGCUACAUCUUAUUAUGUCUAAGAUUAUGAUGAACCCCAAAGAUUAGGAUAAUGAUUUUAGAAGAUAUGAAUGGGUCAUGCUGGUGAGACCUAAAAUUCUAAAAUUCUAAUCUUAAAUAUUUCUGAUCGUAGGAGCAUUGAGUCAAUGAUCAAUGUUUCGAAUAGACAGGAAC
RNAcentral lists this long non-coding RNA (299 nucleotides) under Elaeis guineensis (African oil palm). RNAcentral's name for it is "long non-coding RNA (EGUI_LNC079959)". The record is from RNAcentral. Lineage: Eukaryota; Viridiplantae; Streptophyta; Magnoliopsida; Arecales; Arecaceae.